Molecule: transfer-messenger RNA, 360 nt
Filed under: Pseudomonadota bacterium
Lineage: Bacteria; Pseudomonadati; Pseudomonadota
Also listed under: 2 other names
Description: Proteobacteria bacterium transfer-messenger RNA
Rfam family: transfer-messenger RNA
About the family: Bacterial tmRNA, also known as 10Sa RNA or SsrA, is named for its dual tRNA and mRNA-like properties. Its role is to liberate the mRNA from a stalled ribosome. To accomplish this part of the tmRNA is used as a reading frame that ends in a translation stop signal.
Source: RNAcentral
GGGGGCGAAACGGUUUCGACGGGGGUACAUAAGCCCAGGCUGCAUGCCGAGUUCUCUUCACACUCGUUAAACAGGUUGAACAUAAACACAGUCGCAGACGACUAUAAUUACGCCGUAGCAGCUUAAUCACUGCUACCGUCUUCUCUUGCCCUCUCCCAUGGGGUGGGAUGCGGACGCCGACUUCAUGGGAUAGCCUCCCGGUGCUCCUGCCGCCGCCUGGCGAAACUUAGCUGGAUAGCGCUAAAAGCCUUUUGGUCCUGGAAGGGCUGAGGCGCGAUAAGCAAUUAAUCAGGAACACGCAUGUAGACGCUUGAGGGGGAGUAUUUUCGGACCCGGGUUCAACUCCCGGCGCCUCCACCA